CCCGCACAAGCGGUGGAGCAUGUGGUCUAAUUCUUAAGCAACGCGCAGAACCUUACCACCUUUUGACAUGCCUGGACCGCCAGAGAGAUCUGGCUUUCUCUUCGGAGACUAGGACACAGGUGCUGCAUGGCUGUCGUCAGCUCGUGUCGUGAGAUGUUGGGUUAAGUCCCGCAACGAGCGCAACCCUCGUUCCAUGUUGCCAGCGCGUAAUGGCGGGGACUCAUGGGAGACUGCCGGGGUCAACUCGGAGGAAGGUGGGGACGACGUCAAAUCAUCAUGCCCCUUAUGUCUUGGGCUUCACGCAUGCUACAAUGGCCGGUACAAAGGGUUGCGAUACUGUGAGGUGGAGCUAAUCCCAAAAAGCCGGUCUCNGUUCGGAUUGGGGUCUGCAACUCGACCCCAUGAAGUCGGAGUCGCUAGUAAUCGUAGAUCAGCAACGCUACGGUGAAUACGUUCCCGGGCCUUGUACACACCGCCCGUCAAGUCAUGAAAGUCGGUAGCACCCGAAGCCGGUGGCCUAACCUUUUUGGAGGGAGCCGUC
This 541-nucleotide ribosomal RNA is filed under the name uncultured bacterium. RNAcentral describes it as "bacterial SSU rRNA". It matches the Rfam family "Bacterial small subunit ribosomal RNA", at positions 920 to 1457 of the family's 1533-position model. The record is from RNAcentral.